AUGAACGCUGGCGGCGUGCCUAAUACAUGCAAGUCGAGCGAACGGACGAGAAGCUUGCUUCUCUGAUGUUAGCGGCGGACGGGUGAGUAACACGUGGAUAACCUACCUAUAAGACUGGGAUAACUUCGGGAAACCGGAGCUAAUACCGGAUGAUAUUUUGAACCGCAUGGUUCAAAAGUGAAAGACGGUCUUGCUGUCACUUAUAGAUGGAUCCGCGCUGCAUUAGCUAGUUGGUAAGGUAACGGCUUACCAAGGCAACGAUGCAUAGCCGACCUGAGAGGGUGAUAGGCCACACUGGAACUGAGACACGGUCCAGACUCCUACGGGAGGCAGCAGUAGGGAAUCUUCCGCAAUGGGCGAAAGCCUGACGGAGCAACGCCGCGUGAGUGAUGAAGGUCUUCGGAUCGUAAAACUCUGUUAUGAGGGAAGAACAUAUGUGUAAGUAACUGUGCACAUCUUGACGGUACCUAAUCAGAAAGCCACGGCUAACUACGUG
This 496-nucleotide ribosomal RNA is filed under the name uncultured bacterium. Its description in RNAcentral is "partial 16S ribosomal RNA". It matches the Rfam family "Bacterial small subunit ribosomal RNA", at positions 29 to 507 of the family's 1533-position model. The record is from RNAcentral.